Molecule: unclassified non-coding RNA, 1003 nt
Filed under: Hevea brasiliensis (rubber tree)
Lineage: Eukaryota; Viridiplantae; Streptophyta; Magnoliopsida; Malpighiales; Euphorbiaceae
Source: RNAcentral
GAAAUACAAUAAUUAAUAUAAAUAUUUUACAAACGAGUUUGUUCACAAGCCGGCUCGCAAGUCUAUAAACAAGCUGGCUCACGAGUCUUAAUGAAUCGAAUACUGCGAAGUUUGAGCUUGACUCGUUUAUGAGCGAGCCUAAAAAAUUGAACUCGACUCAAGCUCGGCUUAUUUUUCAAAAGAGCCAAAUCGAGCCGAGCCUUAAGCAGCUCAUGAAUAGCUUGGUUCAUUUACGGCCCUACCUAAAUUGCUCUUUUACUAAAUUGGAGUUGAAAUGGAACUAUUUUCUUUUUAUAUAUAUGCUAAAGUAUUUUUGAAAAUGUUUUAAUAGCAUACCUUGGAUCUCCCACUAAAUUCUUAAAAAAUUUAUUUUACCAUUAAAAACCUAAAAAUUAUAAUUGAAUCCCAAAUGAGCAUUAUGGGUUUUAUUAAAGUAAAAAACUAAUAAACUACAACCAUAAUGAGCUUGCAAAAUCUAAAUCAUGGGCAAACCACGUGUUAAUAAGAAUCAUGUUAAUGGUUUAAUACUCCAAAUUUGUCUGAGUGACUUUAUGGUAUAAAUUAUCAUAACUUUUACCAUUAGUACUGAUUGUAUAAAUAAUUGUUUUAUGUAUAAAUUUCAAGGCAAAGAAGUAGACUCAUGCCCUUAAUGUUAAUACUGAUUUACUUUGGAUUUUCUAUCAAUGGUUGAUAAGUAAUUUCAUUAAUCAAAAGUUGAGUUUCAAUGCAUUACUCUGUUUGAAGGUUCUUUAUAGCUUCAUUUGGUACUUACUGGCUGUUCUCAUAUUAGGAUUGCUAAUUCUUACUAUUAUUUGGUGGGAAUUCUUAAUUCUUUGCUUUGAAGCAAUAUUGUUCUUUCAAAUUCAGAUUCUAGCCCAAUGUUGAGAAAUGGAGAGACCGGAGAUUGGAUUGGGACCUUUGAAGGACAUAAAGGUGCAGUGUGGAGUUGUUGCCUUGAUACUAAUGCAUUGCGAGCAGCAUCUGCAUCUGCAGAUUUUACAGC